ACGGGUGCAGGUGAAGAUUCG
RNAcentral lists this microRNA (21 nucleotides) under Drosophila melanogaster (fruit fly). RNAcentral describes it as "dme-miR-4939-3p". The record is from miRBase by way of RNAcentral. Lineage: Eukaryota; Metazoa; Arthropoda; Insecta; Diptera; Drosophilidae.